GACGAGAUAGUUUAAUGAAAAUGUCUAUUUUACACGUAGAGGUUGGUUAUGGUGCCUAUCGUCA
RNAcentral lists this transfer RNA (64 nucleotides) under Paragonimus ohirai. RNAcentral describes it as "tRNA-Val". The record is from RNAcentral. RNAcentral also lists the same sequence under 1 other name. Lineage: Eukaryota; Metazoa; Platyhelminthes; Trematoda; Plagiorchiida; Troglotrematidae.